This 514-nucleotide ribosomal RNA is filed under the name uncultured bacterium. RNAcentral's name for it is "partial 16S ribosomal RNA". It matches the Rfam family "Bacterial small subunit ribosomal RNA", at positions 28 to 523 of the family's 1533-position model. The record is from RNAcentral.
GAUGAACGCUGGCGGCGUGCCUAAUACAUGCAAGUCGAGCGAACAGAUGAGAAGCUUGCUUCUCUGAUGUUAGCGGCGGACGGGUGAAUAACACGUGGGUAACCUACCUAUAAGACUGGAAUAACUCCGGGAAACCGGGGCUAAUACCGGAUAAUAUUUUGAACCGCAUGGUUCAAUAGUGAAAGACGGUUUCGGCUGUCACUUAUAGAUGGACCCGCGCCGUAUUAGCUAGUUGAUAAGGUAACGGCUUACCAAGGCGACGAUACGUAGCCGACCUGAGAGGGUGAUCGGCCACACUGGAACUGAGACACGGUCCAGACUCCUACGGGAGGCAGCAGUAGGGAAUCUUCCGCAAUGGGCGGAAGCCUGACGGAGCAACGCCGCGUGAGUGAUGAAGGUCUUCGGAUCGUAAAACUCUGUUGUUAGGGAAGAACAAAUUUGUUAGUAACUGAACAAGUCUUGACGGUACCUAACCAGAAAGCCACGGCUAACUACGUGCCAGCAGCCGCGGUAA